CAUUGGCACUUUAGAUUUUUCUUGGUUUAAUGAUGGUGAUGGUCGAUUGGGUGAUGAUGGUGUAUGAUUAGUGGUGGAUUGUGGAAGAUGACUGUGAAGGGCAAUAUUGGAAAUACGUCUCAAUAUACAUAUUAAUGACAAAAUAAUCUCCAAAUAUUUAAAUUAAAUUCUUUAGCGAACGUGUUCAUAAAUGUGUUAUAACCAGGGUUCCUCUAAUCCCCUCCCACCCACCUAUAAAACAACCCCAUCCAGCCAUCCCUCUUCUCUAUAUUCAUCUGAUCGAUCAUCUUUCUCUCUCUCGAAUAAUGAAUGUUAUGAGCAAUGAAUCCAACACAAAGACUUUUGCAAGGAGGUACUCAAGUUAUGCAUUGACCUAUAAAAGAUGGAAGAAAGCAACUUUCAAGCAUCACCAAUGCCAUGAUAGAGGUGCCACCGUGAUGGUGGUGAAGGAGGUGGUCGCAGUUUUCUAAUGUGAGAUAUGGUGUUAUCCUUACUUGAGCUUUUACCUAAAACUAUAAGAAAAAAAAAUUAAUUUGUUUGUAUUUUUUCUUUUUCAUUUUUCUUGACCUUGUAAGACCUUUUCUUGACCUUGCAAGACUCUCCAACACUGUCAAACUCUUGGCUACUCUCCGUGUCUUGGACCUAAUAUUGUAGCAAAUUGAGGCAGUGUUGUUUCUAAUCUUUCACCGUUCUUUCCCAACUCAUGCCCUCUUUGCUUGUCUAUCCCUCUUGAGCUGUAUUUGUAUACAAUCUAAAGUCUAAACGAUAUCCAUACCAUCCCACUUUUUAUAUUCCAUAAAAAUUUGAUGUAUUAGAACAUUCAAAUAGAUGAAACUUUUGUUUUCGUCGUUACUAAAGAAUAGGUAUGUAGAGAUUUGCACUUAAUAAUCUGUAUAGGUUAUAUAUUUAAGCAAGUUCUUAUGCCAAUAAAUAUAUUGCUUCAGAAUUCGACUCA
Molecule: long non-coding RNA, 955 nt
Organism: Lactuca sativa (garden lettuce)
Lineage: Eukaryota; Viridiplantae; Streptophyta; Magnoliopsida; Asterales; Asteraceae
Source: RefSeq, a predicted model, not a curated record